UAAAAUCCAUUCUCAUCUCCUCUUCCGGGCACCCCCACUUUUGGUUGGUCCAUAAAAUCUCCCCAUCUCCAGUACCAUUUGGCAAGACAGAAAGACAGAUGGAUCCUCCACAAGUUCAGUCCAUAGACACCUCCACUGUUAAAAACCUCCCUCCACCCCAAGAUGAACAAGACAAAGCCAUCGACGACUGCUGUUCUUGCUUCUACGAUUGCAUGGGUAGCUGUUUGGAGUCUCUCUUCUGCUCUGACUGCUGUGAUUGACAACACCCAAUCGUUUUUGGAGAUGAUUUAUUGUUCUUUUGGUUGUGUCUUCUCUGUUCAGUCUUCUUUUUAAUAUACUUUUUUGUUUUCUUCCAUUUUCGCUGUAAGCUUGUUCUGAAGCUUGCAGGCAUGGGAUGAUGUAUACUUCUCUGUUUAACAAACUGGACCUUAUGAAGAAAGAAGGUGAUUAGUUAGUGGUA
Molecule: long non-coding RNA, 460 nt
Organism: Ipomoea nil (Japanese morning glory)
Lineage: Eukaryota; Viridiplantae; Streptophyta; Magnoliopsida; Solanales; Convolvulaceae
Exons: 2
Source: RefSeq, a predicted model, not a curated record